CAACCAGUGUUUUGGUAUAAAAUGCCUGUCUUGUUUUCAAAACUCAAUCAAGACAGUCAUUAAGCCACACGAUAUACUAAAAUGGUAAGUUUUCCUGUAUGGUCUGUUUCUGUUUAAGAAACACAAAAUAAAACAACAAUAAAUAAUACACUGUCCACCAAAAAACUUACACACUUUACAGUAUUGCUGACAAUGAUGACCAGAAAUUAAAUAGAGAACGACAUUCUUUUCCUCUCUCAGUGGCAAUUUAAUAGUUAUUCAUGUUUGAGUUCCCAGAGAAGAAUGAUUUCAUGUAUAGUAAAUUGUUACUGUUUUGUUUUAAAGCCAGGACUUGCCAAAUGGACAGAAAAGAGGAAUUUGUCAGAAGCUCCAUGAAAUUCAUUUUCUUUAUGCGUAGUUGCAGGCCGGAGUCAUGGUUGGCAAGAAUGUGAGGAACCCCUGAAGAGUUCAUUACCGAGUGAAUGCUCACAGGAGGAACUUCAGAAAUAGCCAGUUUUGCUCCAGUGUGAUAAAUGAGGAGAAACGGAAUUGCAAUGUCAUCUGUGUUGAGUCUUGCUGACCGCUAACACCUCCUUUGGAGGCAGACGCUCACCAGCGCUAACAUCGGCCCUGCCCCAGGCAGUUAGAAAUUUGUGCUCCAGUCCUUGGGUUCACACUUGCACCCUGUUUGACAUAAAUACUUUAAAUGACAUACAAUGUAUGUAGUUUUGUGCUUAUUACUUUUUAAAAGAAUAAAUAAUAUUAAAAACUGCAUAACGAAGCUCGGUAUCUUGUCCAAGUGGGGGCCACACUUGCAGUGCUAGAAGUCGAUGCCCGACAGUAGAAUUGGAAUUUCGUGUCAUCGAAUACCGAAAGAUGGAAAGCAUGUCCUGUCCUUUUCUCCUUAGAAAUGGUUUUUAUCAUGAAAUGACGGCAAGUUGACUUCCCGGAUAGAAAAAUGGCGAAUGCGUAUUUGGUACCAACUUCAACUAAACAGCGCAGUGGCGGCGGCUCUCUUCUUGCCCUGGAAUGGAAACUGAUCACCGCGUGAGGUUUGAGGGUCUGAGGACUGGCAGGAAGGCCUUUCUGUCAUGAGCCACGGUGUGACCUCCCUCUUGGCUUCCCUUUCUCUGGUUAAUACGCUACAGGAAGAGUGAUUCUGCUCAUGCCCCCCCAGGCCUUGGCUGUCGUGGCUCCUCCACGAAGGCUGUCCCCAUCCUGAGAGCUCUUGUGGCAGGUGCCUUAAUAUAUAGCUAUAAAUAUCAAAAAUAGUCUCCUGUGCUUUGUAGACAUUUAUUUCUCCCUCCCUCCCUCCUUCCCUUCCCACCCGGCCUGGGUCCUCAGCUUUACCUCAUG
This 1335-nucleotide long non-coding RNA is filed under the name Ursus thibetanus thibetanus. RNAcentral's name for it is "lncRNA (ENSUTTG00000002757.1)". The record is from RNAcentral. Lineage: Eukaryota; Metazoa; Chordata; Mammalia; Carnivora; Ursidae.